CAUUAGUAGACAAUUUUCUUAAAAUGUACCCUUAGCAUAGAGCACACCAGACUUGCAGAAAGAAAGAGCACACUCCAGAGGAAGCUGAGGCAUGCCUGCUCAAGAGCCAGUGGUUCCACAUGUAGUUUUCCUUUAAAAAAAAAAAAU
Molecule: non-coding RNA, 147 nt
Organism: Cynocephalus volans (Philippine flying lemur)
Lineage: Eukaryota; Metazoa; Chordata; Mammalia; Dermoptera; Cynocephalidae
Source: RefSeq, a predicted model, not a curated record